Molecule: small nuclear RNA, 104 nt
Organism: Mobula hypostoma (lesser devil ray)
Lineage: Eukaryota; Metazoa; Chordata; Chondrichthyes; Myliobatiformes; Myliobatidae
Source: RefSeq, a predicted model, not a curated record
GACCGCUGUAUUGGUGCUUUCUUAAUAUUGGAAAAUUACAGAGAAGACUCGCAUGGCCUCUGCACAAGGGUAGCAUGCAAAUUCACGAAGCAAUAGGGGAGCAC